CUAUAUAUAUAUAUAGGCUAGGGCUAAGAGGAUAGUAGCACUUGUCCUAUCAAAUUGUUUUUGAUGAUAGAGAUUUCGAAUCGAUGAUCGGAGCCAUUGAAGUUGAUUUAUAGUAUUUGAAAUGUCUAGAAACUAAAUUUCAUAAAUUUUAAAAAUUAUUUACAUAGUGAUCAAAGUGUCGUCAAAUCGACAAUUUUUGACGGCCUAUAUGAGCCGUUUACUUGUUUAAUGGUGUAGAGCAAUCCAAAUUACUUUAAUUUUUCAUAGAAAAUUCUUUAUACUAUUUAGAUAAUGUUUGAUAACUCUGAUUAUGAAUUGAGAAAAUCUAACCUCUAUUUUAAGAAGGUUUUUCAUUUAUGACCGUUCAUUUUUCAACUAUUAAAAUGAACUUGAUAAUGAUUUUUAAAUAUUACAAAAUUUGGUUUCUAAACAUUUCUAAUUGUGUAGAUCAAUUUCAACGAUGCCGAUUAUCAAUUUGAAGUUCUGAUCAUUCAAAAUGACUUGAUAGGACAAUAUCCUCAAUCCUAUUAAUAGGAUAGUAGAUGGACUAUAUAUAUAGAGAGAGAGAGAGAGAGAGAGAGAGAGAGAGAGAGAGAGAAGGGCUGCUGUGUUCUCAGGAGCAUGGAGGCCUCCGUGCUCCUGAGCCGUUUUUGAUGAUGGAAUUUUCGAAUCGAUGAUUGGCUCCGUUAGACUUGAUCUAGGAUAUUUGAAGUUUCUAGAAAAUAAUUUUUGCUAUUUUUUUAUAUCAUUUAUCUAGUGAUCGAAAUGAUUCAAAAUCAAUAAUUUUUAAUGGUUGAUAUUUGCCGUUUUCAAGUUUAACAGUGUAGAAGUAUUCAAAUCAGAUGAAAUUUUGAUACAAAAUUCUUUAUACUAUCUACAACAAGAUCAAUAUUUCUGAUAAAAAAUUUUAGUGCUAUAUCACCACUUUUUAUAGGAUUUUUAUUUUCAGCUGUUAAAAAUUAUUAAUUUUGAAACCUUUCGAUUGUUAGUUAAAUGAUAUCGAAAAAUCGCAAAAAUUAUUUUCUAGAAACUUCAAAUACGCUAGAUCAAGUCUAACAGAGUCAAUCUCGAUUCAAAAAUUCAAUCAUCGAAAACAGCUCAGGAGCACGGAGAGCACAACAGUCCUGCUAUAUAUAUAUAUAUAUAUAUAUAUAUAUAUAUACUAUCGAUAGCACAAAGUGCUUAGUGCUAUCAGUUUUUUAGCCCUUGGAUUGAGAAAUAUAUGGUUAGGAUGAUGUGGGUCCCCUAGAGUUAAGUGGGUGCUUGGUUGAAUAGUAUAAUCUAACGAGUAAAGAUAAUCAAAGGAAUUAAUCUAACGGCAGAAAACUUGAUAGUACCAAGUGUUUGGUGCUAUCGAUAGCAUAGCAGCCGCACUCUAUAUAUAUAUAUAUAUAUAUAUAUAUAUAUAUGUUAAUUGUGUAAGCUACAUUAGCUAUAAUUAUAAAAAAUAGUUAAAAAAAAGAUUUUUUUUAUUAUUUGUUUUAAUA
Molecule: long non-coding RNA, 1487 nt
Filed under: Ananas comosus (pineapple)
Lineage: Eukaryota; Viridiplantae; Streptophyta; Magnoliopsida; Poales; Bromeliaceae
Description: long non-coding RNA (ACOM_LNC016597)
Source: RNAcentral